Molecule: ribosomal RNA, 718 nt
Filed under: uncultured organism
Description: bacterial SSU rRNA
Rfam family: Bacterial small subunit ribosomal RNA
Source: RNAcentral
CACACCGGACGCUGAGGUGCGAAAGCGUGGGUAGCGAACGGGAUUAGAUACCCCGGUAGUCCACGCCGUAAACGAUGGAUACUAGGUGUAGGGGGGUCACUGAAUCCCUCUGGCGCGUAGCAAACGCGGUAAGUAUCCCGCCUGGGGACUACGGCCGCAAGGUUAAAACUCAAAGGAAUUGACGGGGGCCCGCACAAGCAGCGGAGCGUGUGGUUUAAUUCGAUGAUACGCGAAGAACCUUACCUGGGCUGAACUACGUGGUAGUAGAAAAGCGAAAGCGGAUCGACCCUUCGGGGAGCCUCGAUAGGUGCUGCAAGGCUGUCGUCAGCUCGUGUCGUGAGAUGUUGGGUUAAGUCCCGCAACGAGCGCAACCCUUGUCGUUAGUUAUACGUGUCUAGCGAGACUGCCGGUAUCAAACCGGAGGAAGGUGGGGAUGACGUCAAGUCAGCAUGGUCUUUAUGUCCAGGGCUACACACACGCUACAAUGGCCGGUACAACAGGUUGCUAUACCGCGAGGUGGAGCUAAUCCCUAAAGCCGGUCUCAGUUCGGAUUGCAGUCUGCAACUCGACUGCAUGAAGGUGGAGUUGCUAGUAACCGCGCGUCAGCAAUAGUGCGGUGAAUGCGUUCCCGGGCCUUGUACACACCGCCCGUCACAUCAUGGAAGUCGGUAACACCUGAAGUCGGUGACCUAACCGUAAGGAAGGAGCUGCCUAAGGU